UACGGAGGGUGCAAGAGUUAUCCGGGAUCACGGGGUUUAAAGGGUGCGUAGGCGGCUUGAUAAGUCAGGGGUGAAAGCCCGCAGCUUAACUGCGGAACUGCCUUUGAUACUGUCGAGCUUGAAAGAGGUUGAGGUCAGCGGAACGUGACAUGUAGCGGUGAAAUGCAUAGAUAUGUCACAGAACACCGAUUGCGAAGGCAGCUGGCUGGACCUACUUUGGCGCUGAGGCACGAAAGCGUGGGGAGCGAACAGG
RNAcentral lists this ribosomal RNA (253 nucleotides) under uncultured bacterium. RNAcentral describes it as "partial 16S ribosomal RNA". It matches the Rfam family "Bacterial small subunit ribosomal RNA", at positions 524 to 776 of the family's 1533-position model. The record is from RNAcentral.